RNAcentral lists this ribosomal RNA (497 nucleotides) under uncultured bacterium. RNAcentral describes it as "partial 16S ribosomal RNA". It matches the Rfam family "Bacterial small subunit ribosomal RNA", at positions 28 to 507 of the family's 1533-position model. The record is from RNAcentral.
GAUGAACGCUGGCGGCGUGCCUAAUACAUGCAAGUCGAGCGAACAGACGAGGAGCUUGCUCCUCUGACGUUAGCGGCGGACGGGUGAGUAACACGUGGAUAACCUACCUAUAAGACUGGGAUAACUUCGGGAAACCGGAGCUAAUACCGGAUAAUAUAUUGAACCGCAUGGUUCAAUAGUGAAAGGCGGUUUUGCUGUCACUUAUAGAUGGAUCCGCGCCGCAUUAGCUAGUUGGUAAGGUAACGGCUUACCAAGGCGACGAUGCGUAGCCGACCUGAGAGGGUGAUCGGCCACACUGGAACUGAGACACGGUCCAGACUCCUACGGGAGGCAGCAGUAGGGAAUCUUCCGCAAUGGGCGAAGGCCUGACGGAGCAACGCCGCGUGAGUGAUGAAGGUCUUCGGAUCGUAAAACUCUGUUAUUAGGGAAGAACAAAUGUGUAAGUAACUAUGCACGUCUUGACGGUACCUAAUCAGAAAGCCACGGCUAACUACGUG